This 497-nucleotide ribosomal RNA is filed under the name uncultured bacterium. RNAcentral describes it as "partial 16S ribosomal RNA". It matches the Rfam family "Bacterial small subunit ribosomal RNA", at positions 28 to 507 of the family's 1533-position model. The record is from RNAcentral.
GAUGAACGCUGGCGGCGUGCCUAAUACAUGCAAGUCGAGCGAACGGACGAGAAGCUUGCUUCUCUGAUGUUAGCGGCGGACGGGUGAGUAACACGUGGAUAACCUACCUAUAAGACUGGGAUAACUUCGGGAAACCGGAGCUAAUACCGGGUAAUAUUUUGAACCGCAUGGUUCAAAAGUAAAAGACGGUCUUGCUGUCACUUAUAGAUGGAUCCGCGCUGCAUUAGCUAGUUGGUAAGGUAACGGCUUACCAAGGCAACGAUGCAUAGCCGACCUGAGAGGGUGAUCGGCCACACUGGAACUGAGACACGGUCCAGACUCCUACGGGAGGCAGCAGUAGGGAAUCUUCCGCAAUGGGCGAAAGCCUGACGGAGCAACGCCGCGUGAGUGAUGAAGGUCUUCGGAUCGUAAAACUCUGUUAUUAGGGAAGAACAUAUGUGUAAGUAACUGUGCACAUCUUGACGGUACCUAAUCAGAAAGCCACGGCUAACUACGUG